Molecule: long non-coding RNA, 229 nt
Filed under: Mytilus galloprovincialis (Mediterranean mussel)
Lineage: Eukaryota; Metazoa; Mollusca; Bivalvia; Mytilida; Mytilidae
Source: RNAcentral
GAUUGUGAUUAAAUAGUUGACACAACACAGGUUUCUGACACAUAAUGAAUGUGAUCUAAGAACUUAAACUUAACCAGAUGCUCCGCAGGGCACAGCUUUAUACGACCGCAGAGGUUGAACCCUGAACGGUUGGGCAAGUAUGGACACAACAUUCAAGCUGGAUUCAGCUCUAAAUUUGGAUUGUGAUUAAAUAGUUGACACAGCAUAGGUUUCUGACACAGAAUGAAUG